RNAcentral lists this ribosomal RNA (467 nucleotides) under uncultured bacterium. Its description in RNAcentral is "partial 16S ribosomal RNA". It matches the Rfam family "Bacterial small subunit ribosomal RNA", at positions 29 to 507 of the family's 1533-position model. The record is from RNAcentral.
ACGAACGCUGGCGGCGUGCUUAACACAUGCAAGUCGAACGGAAAGGCCCUGCUUUUGUGGGGUGCUCGAGUGGCGAACGGGUGAGUAACACGUGAGUAACCUGCCCUUGACUUUGGGAUAACUUCAGGAAACUGGGGCUAAUACCGGAUAGGAGCUCCUGCUGCAUGGUGGGGGUUGGAAAGUUUCGGCGGUUGGGGAUGGACUCGCGGCUUAUCAGCUUGUUGGUGGGGUAGUGGCUUACCAAGGCUUUGACGGGUAGCCGGCCUGAGAGGGUGACCGGCCACAUUGGGACGGAGAUACGGCCCAGACGCCUACGGGAGGCAGCAGUGGGGAAUAUUGCACAAUGGGCGGAAGCCUGAUGCAGCAACGCCGCGUGCGGGAUGACGGCCUUCGGGUUGUAAACCGCUUUCGCCUGUGACGAAGCGUGAGUGACGGUAAUGGGUAAAGAAGCACCGGCUAACUACGUG